This 21-nucleotide microRNA is filed under the name Anolis carolinensis (green anole). RNAcentral's name for it is "aca-miR-5440". Lineage: Eukaryota; Metazoa; Chordata; Lepidosauria; Squamata; Anolidae. The record is from miRBase by way of RNAcentral.
UCAGGAGGACUGAAGGACCAC